AGGGUUUGAUUAUGGCUCAGAUUGAACGCUGGCGGUAACUUUUAAACAUGCAAGUCGAGCGGUAACAGACAUAAAGAUUCAGCUUGCUGAAUCCGGUGCUGACGAGCGGCGAACGGGUGAGUAACGCGUAGGAAUCUACCCAGUAGCGGGGGAUAGCCCGAGGAAACUCGGAUUAAUACCGCAUACGCCCUGAGGGGGGAAGGGGGCAAUUUAUUGCUCUCACUAUUGGAUGAGCCUGCGUAAGAUUAGCUUGUUGGUAGGGUAAUGGCCUACCAAGGCGACGAUCUUUAGCUGGUCUGAGAGGACGAUCAGCCACAUUGGGACUGAGACACGGCCCAGACAUCUACGGAUGGCAGCAGUUAAGAAUAUUGGACAAUGGGGGCAACCCUGAUCCAGGUAUACCGCGUGUGUGAAGAAGGCCCUAGGGUUGUAAAGCACUUUAAUCAGUGAAGAAGCAUUUUAAGUUAAUACCUUAAUUUGUUGACGUUACCUGAAGAAUAAGGACCGGCUAACUCCGUGCCAGCCGCCGCGGUAAUAC
RNAcentral lists this ribosomal RNA (538 nucleotides) under uncultured bacterium. Its description in RNAcentral is "bacterial SSU rRNA". It matches the Rfam family "Bacterial small subunit ribosomal RNA", at positions 8 to 526 of the family's 1533-position model. The record is from RNAcentral.